This 562-nucleotide ribosomal RNA is filed under the name Amanita ceciliae. RNAcentral describes it as "eukaryotic LSU rRNA". The stretch from base 199 to 352 matches the Rfam family "5.8S ribosomal RNA". Lineage: Eukaryota; Fungi; Basidiomycota; Agaricomycetes; Agaricales; Amanitaceae. The record is from RNAcentral.
CCUGCGGAAGGAUCAUUAUCGAACGAAACUUCUGGCCGGACGCUUUUUGUGCUGGCCCUUCGGGGCAAUGUGCACGCCUCUGGUCCUUUGUUUCUUCUGUUCCACCUGUGCACUCCCUGUAGAUGCUCUGUGUCUAUGAUAACGAUUACACGCUCUUUUGCAUAUUGGUUGGCAUGUCACAUAUGUAUGAAAAUAUACAACUUUCAACAACGGAUCUCUUGGCUCUCGCAUCGAUGAAGAACACAGCGAAAUGUGAUAAGUAAUGUGAAUUGCAGAAUCCAGUGAAUCAUCGAAUCUUUGAACGCAUCUUGCGCUCCUUGGCAUUCCGAGGAGCAUGCCUGUUUGAGUGUCAUUAAACUGUCAAAACACACCUUUCUUAGGGGCGUUUUGGACUUUGGGAGUGUUUUGCUGGUCUGCUUGAGCCCAGCUCUCCUCAAAAGCAUUGUUAGCUUUGGCAGACUGUCAGCGUGAUAACCUUGUUUAUGCUGAGUCUCCAAAUAUAUAUAUGCCCCCUUUGACCUCAAAUCAGGUAGGACUACCCGCUGAACUUAAGCAUAUCAAU